Molecule: transfer RNA, 75 nt
Filed under: Shigella sonnei
Lineage: Bacteria; Pseudomonadati; Pseudomonadota; Gammaproteobacteria; Enterobacterales; Enterobacteriaceae
Also listed under: 1 other name
Description: tRNA-Gln
Rfam family: tRNA
About the family: Transfer RNA (tRNA) molecules are approximately 80 nucleotides in length. Their secondary structure includes four short double-helical elements and three loops (D, anti-codon, and T loops).
Source: RNAcentral
UGGGGUAUCGCCAAGCGGUAAGGCACCGGUUUUUGAUACCGGCAUUCCCUGGUUCGAAUCCAGGUACCCCAGCCG